This 241-nucleotide long non-coding RNA is filed under the name Pongo abelii (Sumatran orangutan). RNAcentral describes it as "lincRNA". The record is from RNAcentral. Lineage: Eukaryota; Metazoa; Chordata; Mammalia; Primates; Hominidae.
AACCCAGGGGCGGUCCUGCAGCUGGGCAGGCCUGGGGCUUGGUUCUAUGUCCAUGCGAGUCGGUGCGAGGGCGAAGAGGAACCUGUGGGCCUCGGGGGAUCCCGAGGAGCCGGAACAGUGUUCCCCAGUUGUUGGAGCAGACGCGUGAGCGCAUCGCGGGCGGGCAGGGCCUGACGUGCAGCUAUGUUUCCAGUGUCCUCUGGGUGUUUCCAAGAGCUACAAGAAACAAAUAAAUCUCUGG